GACGAACGCUGGCGGCGUGCUUAACACAUGCAAGUCGAACGGAAAGGCCCUGCUUUUGUGGGGUGCUCGAGUGGCGAACGGGUGAGUAACACGUGAGUAACCUGCCCUUGACUUUGGGAUAACUUCAGGGAACUGGGGCUAAUACCGGAUAGGAGCUCCUGCUGCAUGGUGGGGGUUGGAAAGUUUCGGCGGUUGGGGAUGGACUCGCGGCUUAUCAGCUUGUUGGUGGGGUAGUGGCUUACCAAGGCUUUGACGGGUAGCCGGCCUGAGAGGGUGACCGGCGACAUUGGGACUGAAAUACGGCCCAGACUCCUACGGGAGGCAGCAGUGGGGAAUAUUGCACAAUGGGCGGAAGCCUGAUGCAGCAACGCCGCGUGCGGGAUGACGGCCUUCGGGUUGUAAACCGCUUUCGCCUGUGACGAAGCGUGAGUGACGGUAAUGGGUAAAGAAGCACCGGCUAACUACGUG
RNAcentral lists this ribosomal RNA (468 nucleotides) under uncultured bacterium. RNAcentral's name for it is "partial 16S ribosomal RNA". It matches the Rfam family "Bacterial small subunit ribosomal RNA", at positions 28 to 507 of the family's 1533-position model. The record is from RNAcentral.